ACACGACUACAUUAGAUACCCCGGUAGUCCUAGCCGUAAACGAUACUCGCUAGGUGUCGGCCACGGUGCGACCGUUGUCGGUGCCGUAGGGAAGCCGUGAAGCGAGCCACCUGGGAAGUACGGCCGCAAGGCUGAAACUUAAAGGAAUUGGCGGGGAAGCACCACAACGGGUGGAGCUUGCGGUUUAAUUGGAUUCAACGCCGGAAAUCUUACCGGGACCGACAGCAACAUGAAGGCCAGGCUGAAGACUUUGCCGGAUUAGCUG
Molecule: ribosomal RNA, 265 nt
Filed under: uncultured archaeon
Lineage: Archaea
Description: partial 16S ribosomal RNA
Rfam family: Archaeal small subunit ribosomal RNA
Source: RNAcentral